Mobula hypostoma (lesser devil ray) is the source of this 494-nucleotide non-coding RNA. Lineage: Eukaryota; Metazoa; Chordata; Chondrichthyes; Myliobatiformes; Myliobatidae. The record is from the annotation of a RefSeq genome assembly.
GCUGAGGUGUCUCUGCACAGUUCUGAGAAAGAACCUGCCACAGCAGCCUCUCUAGCGGCUGUAUAAUCCAGCUGACACCCAGAGACGAGACGAUGAAAUUUCUCUUGUAUGUCACACUCUGCCUCUGCUUUGACCACCUCUUCAGCCAGUCCGUGACCCAGAGCCCGACAGCUGUGACGAAAAGUGAAUGCCAGUCUCUGACCAUCACAUGCACUUUUCGUACUGGUUCGACGGGAUAUUAUGAGUUUGUAACCGGACAGUUCUUCAAACAAACACCGCUAAAAACGGGAUGGACACGGAUCUCCACAGGAACGAGAUUUAUAAUUGCGCAAAAUAACGCCGAAAUGAUAUUUACACUGAAAAUUAUGAAUCUUGAAGUUGACGACAGUGCCACCUAUUUUUGUAAAGCUGAAUAUAAAUGGAACACACAGUGUUUGGAAAGGGAUCACCACCGUACUCAAACAGGAGAUGGAAAUUAUCCCAUCCACAUCUGA